Molecule: ribosomal RNA, 1344 nt
Filed under: uncultured bacterium
Lineage: Bacteria
Description: bacterial SSU rRNA
Rfam family: Bacterial small subunit ribosomal RNA
Source: RNAcentral
GAUGAACGCUAGCGGGAGGCCUAACACAUGCAAGCCGAGCGGUAUUGUUUCUUCGGAAAUGAGAGAGCGGCGUACGGGUGCGGAACACGUGUGCAACCUGCCUUUAUCUGGGGGAUAGCCUUUCGAAAGGAAGAUUAAUACUUCAUAAUAUAUUGAUUGGCAUCAAUUAAUAUUGAAAGCUCCGGCGGAUAGAGAUGGGCACGCGCAAGAUUAGCUAGUUGGUGAGGUAACGGCUCACCAAGGCGAUGAUCUUUAGGGGGCCUGAGAGGGUGAUCCCCCACACUGGUACUGAGACACGGACCAGACUCCUACGGGAGGCAGCAGUGAGGAAUAUUGGUCAAUGGGUGCAAGCCUGAACCAGCCAUCCCGCGUGAAGGACGACUGCCCUAUGGGUUGUAAACUUCUUUUGUAUAGGGAUAAACCUACCCUCGUGAGGGUAGCUGAAGGUACUAUACGAAUAAGCACCGGCUAACUCCGUGCCAGCAGCCGCGGUAAUACGGAGGGUGCAAGCGUUAUCCGGAUUUAUUGGGUUUAAAGGGUCCGUAGGCGGACUUAUAAGUCAGUGGUGAAAGCCUGUCGCUUAACGAUAGAACUGCCAUUGAUACUGUAAGUCUUGAGUAUAUUUGAGGUAGCUGGAAUAAGUAGUGUAGCGGUGAAAUGCAUAGAUAUUACUUAGAACACCAAUUGCGAAGGCAGGUUACCAAGAUAUAACUGACGCUGAGGGACGAAAGCGUGGGGAGCGAACAGGAUUAGAUACCCUGGUAGUCCACGCCGUAAACGAUGCUAACUCGUUUUUGGGCUUUAGGGUUCAGAGACCAAGCGAAAGUGAUAAGUUAGCCACCUGGGGAGUACGCUCGCGAGAGUGAAACUCAAAGGAAUUGACGGGGGCCCGCACAAGCGGUGGAUUAUGUGGUUUAAUUCGAUGAUACGCGAGGAACCUUACCAAGACUUAAAUGGGAAUUGACAGCUUUAGAAAUAGAGCUUUCUUCGGACAAUUUUCAAGGUGCUGCAUGGUUGUCGUCAGCUCGUGCCGUGAGGUGUUAGGUUAAGUCCUGCAACGAGCGCAACCCCUGUCACUAGUUGCCAUCAUUCAGUUGGGGACUCUAGUGAGACUGCCUACGCAAGUAGAGAGGAAGGUGGGGAUGACGUCAAAUCAUCACGGCCCUUACGUCUUGGGCCACACACGUAAUACAAUGGCCGGUACAGAGGGCGGCUACACAGCGAUGUGAUGCAAAUCUCGAAAGCCGGUCUCAGUUCGGAUUGGAGUCUGCAACUCGACUCUAUGAAGCUGGAAUCGCUAGUAAUCGCGCAUCAGCCAUGGCGCGGUGAAUACGUUCCCGGGCC